UACGUAGGGCGCAAGCGUUGUCCGGAUUUAUUGGGCGUAAAGAGCUCGUAGGCGGUUUGGUAAGUCGGGUGUGAAAUCUCCACGCUCAACGUGGAGGGGCCACUCGAUACUGCCAUGACUCGAGUCCGGUAGAGGAGUGUGGAAUUCCCGGUGUAGCGGUGAAAUGCGCAGAUAUCGAGAGGAACACCUGAGGUGAAGACGGGUUGCUGGGCCGACACUGACGCUGAGUGCGCGAAAGCCAGGGGAGCAAACGGG
RNAcentral lists this ribosomal RNA (255 nucleotides) under uncultured bacterium. Its description in RNAcentral is "partial 16S ribosomal RNA". It matches the Rfam family "Bacterial small subunit ribosomal RNA", at positions 524 to 776 of the family's 1533-position model. The record is from RNAcentral.